RNAcentral lists this ribosomal RNA (404 nucleotides) under uncultured bacterium. RNAcentral's name for it is "bacterial SSU rRNA". It matches the Rfam family "Bacterial small subunit ribosomal RNA", at positions 359 to 775 of the family's 1533-position model. The record is from RNAcentral.
GAAUAUUGGACAAUGGGCGGAAGCCUGAUCCAGCAACGCCGCGUGAGGGAUGACGGCCUUCGGGUUGUAAACCUCUUUCGCUCAGGACGAAGCGCAAGUGACGGUACUGAGUAAAGAAGGACCGGCCAACUACGUGCCAGCAGCCGCGGUAAUACGUAGGGUCCGAGCGUUGUCCGGAAUUAUUGGGCGUAAAGGGCUCGUAGGCGGUUUGUCGCGUCGGGAGUGAAAUCCAUCAGCUUAACUGAUGGCUUGCUUUCGAUACGGGCAGACUAGAGGUAUGCAGGGGAGAAUGGAAUUCCUGGUGUAGCGGUGAAAUGCGCAGAUAUCAGGAGGAACACCGGUGGCGAAGGCGGUUCUCUGGGCAUUACCUGACGCUGAGGAGCGAAAGUGUGGGGAGCGAACAG